CAGAGUCGGAGGACAAAUACCUCAUUAUAGUUGAAGUUCUCUUUCGCCGAUACUAGAUGUGUAGUCGGUUCGCCUGGGGGUUGGAUGGACUGGCGUCAUUUCACAAAGGAGGAGGAAAAAUAGAGUCCCAAGGAUGUAGCAAGAAGACGAGAAACAGGAGAGCUGGUCGGAGAUCUGGCACUCGCCAAGUUUCUGCUGUGUCUGCCUGUCGAUCGAGACGGGAGGUAUUUCAUUUCUCAGGGAUAUUAUACCAACUUUCUUUCGAUGAUCAGAGCCCGACUUAUUGUAGUAAGCGAGCACGUCCAAAUCAC
This 311-nucleotide long non-coding RNA is filed under the name Androctonus crassicauda. Lineage: Eukaryota; Metazoa; Arthropoda; Arachnida; Scorpiones; Buthidae. The record is from RNAcentral.